CCGGCAGCGGUGGCUCCUGCGUAUUUCCUAGGCGGGGGCGGAGGAGGGGGCUGGUCCCGGCUCCGAGCAGCCCUCGCCAGCGGCCGCCUGUGCUCUGCCCCUCUCCGUGGCCCCGUGCGGUUUGGGCUCUGCAGUGAUCGGUGCCACAGCGGGUUAUAAAUAAACACCGAAAAGCCCCCGCUGCUUACACGUCGGAGGGUUGUGUAAGACUUUCGGCUUAAAAAAAAAUAUCCAAAUGAAGCCAUUGUAAUCUUCCUCUGUGAGGGGAAAAAAAAAAAAAAAAAAAGUUCAGAAACUUUCAUACAAGAGCUCAGAAAUCGGCAAACGUGCAAAAUGACCCAAACUUGGAUCUGUCACACCUCAUGAUUGUUGAGCUAAAAUUGAUAACUCGGGGCCCUCUGACGUGAACAGCUUGUAAUCCAGCGGUCACCUGCUUUACAGGCACAGUACAAGUGUAAACGUGUACUACUAAACACGCGGUGGGAUUUGAGUACAAUACACAUAAUGUGAAUUACAGUCAAGGUCGCAGCUAAUGGCUGUGGCAAGUUCAAUUCAACUGCAGCAACCCCCCUGGGAAACAGGAAAAGGUCUUAAGUUCCAUGUACUAAAUCUCACUCAUUUCUCUUCCGGGAGAUUAGGGCUUUGGUUUUGUUUUCAGAGGGAAGAUGUUGUAAAACAAAAACUAAAUUUCAAAGUGUUGGUGUUUUAAGCAUUUUUUUUUUUUUGGUGAUUAUCUUUUCAACCGUAAUGGUUUGGCUUGAAUUUCUAAGUCUUUUAAAUUAAUUUUUUUGGUUUCUAAAUGGUUGGGCUCUGUUUACAAACACUUCAGCUCUUCUGUUCUGCUGGUUUCCUUUGGUAGAGGUGUGUUGUAUUUUAAUGUAUGAUUUAUGUAAGCAAAAAGAAAACCUUGUGGGUAAUAACAUGUUACUAAAUACAAAGGGUUCAAGUGUUUGUAGAACAAACUUAUUUGUGUAUAACUUUUUUUUUUUUUUCAUUUGAAUGAACUGUCAAGUCAGGCUUUAGUGUGGGAGGAAUGGAGCAGCAGGAAGAAGCAGAGGGAGAAGCCAGCAUGACUCUUCCUGAAGGCUUUUUGUCCUAUUGGUAUUGAAGAUAUUUGGCCAAAAUACAGUGACAAUGCACAAGUUUGAUGCAGAUGGCAAGAUAAAGAGUCUCACUUGAGCUAGAGUUAAUGAAGCAUCUACAGCCUUGUCUAAGUUAGUCAUUUGGAACAUGUUAUUUGGAUAAACACGAAAGUGGAAAAUGAAGGCAGAGUGAAGCAGCUCAGGGAACCACAACAAAGAAAAGAAGGAACAGGAAUGUCAGAGGAUGGGUCUAAUCACAGAGGAAGGACAGCAGAAGAAGAGUGGAAGUGCAGGGGGAUCAAGUAGUAGGAAUGGGAGGCUGGGCCAGACCCAAGGCAAUGAAUAAUAGCAGAACUGUGUAUGAAGCCAAUAAUUUUGUUUCUAAUACUUAUUUCUUCAGAAUUUGUCCUUGAACACAGCUCUUCUUCAUGGGUAGCUUACUGUGACUGUAAGAGAAGAAGAGGACUAUCACCCUUCUAAAAGAGGCUUGGGAUAAUUACACAUGACACAGGCUGAGAUCUGCUCUGGCAAUGACUUUAGCCACCACCAUCCCAGAAAAGAUGCUACAACUCAACUACAACACCAGGGUAUGAAAUCGUAUUAACAAUAAUUAUGUUCCCUGCUCCCAGGAAGAGACCUGCCCUUGAAAGUCUUCAGCACACCACCAAAAGAGCAUCUGUCAGGCUAAGCAUCUUUCUGCAUUCUUCUAUUUUGUAGCAGACUACCACACCAAAUUACUUGUGAGGCAUGUAAGAGCCUUAUUCAGGUGUACUCCAACCUCAAAAAAUAAAACUCAUCUGAAAUAAAUGGUUAUUUGCCUAAGAGCAAAAGUCCCUCACGGGAGUGUGGUCCGAAUUAAAAUGUUUGUUGCAGAAACAGAUUUCUUACAGUCACAUGGCAAACAAAUGUAUAUGCACAAUAGGAGACAGAAAAAGGGUUCUUGAGCUGGGCUAUGAUGUUUCCAGUCCCACAGUGCAGAGAUGAGAGUCAUGUCGCCUGGCCUGAAUGGCUGCUUUUAAACAGCCGUGUCCCAGCCUAAGCAGGCCUGUCACACUGGUGACUCUGGUGACUCCACUCUGGCUCUGGUGAGAUGAGCAAGAGACAAGGCAGCGCUGUCAGCUUUUGUAGCCAAGAGUAGCACAGUUAACACUAAGUUCUGGGAAGCAGACAAUACCAGAGAGAGCACUCUGUGUCACAGCUUUACACGUCAGCUUUCAGAAAGCACAUGCAAACCAUUUAUCCAGCAUCUUAUAAAAGCACCAUUGAACGGUUGAACAGAGAGCACCACGUAUACGGAACUGUGUUCAAAACAGCGGACAGGAGCUGUUCAGGGAGCCAUGGAGAAGCACGCAGCCCAGAAGCAUCCCUGCAGGAUGGAUUCCUUGAAGGCACGAUAGAUGAGGGCUUGGAGAACAAGGCAGCUGGUCAUCAGCCAGUUGAAACUAUGGGGAUAACCCAACUCUGAGUUAGUCAUGAAUAUGAAUCCCCACACCUACUCGUCCCUUACUCCAUGGAUCCUGCUACAUGUAAGCAAGUCUGCAAUUUAUAUUAAUAGAAAGACUGAAGCAACGAAUUGUUCACAGUUGACAUGAACACCACCUCCCUGAAUGCUCACUAUUGUAAAACCUAGUUUCUUCAAAAGAAGACAGAUAAUUCUUAUUGCAAAGCUUAGUCAUCAUAGCUACAUUACUGGGCUUUUCACUGGAUGUUUGGGAGUGAGUAUUGCUAUUGUAGGGCUAACUGAGGUCCAGUACAUUAAAUGUGUCUUUAUAAAGAUGUUUCCAACUUGGAACAAGUAAACGUUGGGGUUGUCCCUUUGUACUUUUGAGUUUAACACAUGCAGUAUGGAAGUACUAGCUACUUUGUAGAAAAGGCACUCUUAACUGAUCUAACUGUGGUAAUUAGGUACAUGCCUGUGCUACAUGUAUCUGCAAAGAAUUUACUUCUGUCUGUGGCUGAGAAAGUUAUUCCACACUAUGGUAGAAAAGGAUGACUGGUUUACAUAUUGGAUUAGCACUGGUUUAGGUAUGUGGUAAGAACAAUGCUCAUGGGAGACACAGAUUCAUGGAAGAGAUGUCUGAACUGCAUUUCCUAUUUUCUACCAGUUCCUAGAGAGAAAACAAAAAGACCUUUUUACUAGUGCAGUUGUAUUCUGUUAUAUAUACAUACAUAUAUAUAUAUAUAUACACACACAUUAUAUAUAGUUAUAUAUAAUGUAUAUAUACAUUACAGCUUCUCCUGGCCUUACAGUGGCAAUUUGAUGUGAGAUCUUAUUGUACAGUUGUGCCAAAAAAAGGAAGCAAAGAAAUAGACUGUGAAGCUUCCCCAGAAAACAUCACCAGGUAACCAAUACUUCAUUUUGGAUGUUGACAUCUUCUUUAGGGAUAUGGUGAAAGAG
Molecule: long non-coding RNA, 3480 nt
Organism: Cyanistes caeruleus (blue tit)
Lineage: Eukaryota; Metazoa; Chordata; Aves; Passeriformes; Paridae
Source: RefSeq, a predicted model, not a curated record